UUUAAGACGAGGAUAACAAUUGGAAACGGUUGCUAAGACUGGAUAGGAAACAAAAAGGCAUCUUUUUGUUUUUAAAAGACCUUCUUAUGAAGGUAUGCUUAAAGAGGGGCUUGCGCCACAUUAGUUAGUUGGUAGGGUAAAAGCCUACCAAGACGAUGAUGUGUAGCUGGACUGAGAGGUUGAACAGCCACAUUGGGACUGAGACACGGCCCAAACUCCUACGGGAGGCAGCAGUAGGGAAUUUUCGGCAAUGGAGGAAACUCUGACCGAGCAACGCCGCGUGAACGAUGAAGUAUUUCGGUAUGUAAAGUUCUUUUAUUGAAGAAGAAAAAGUAGUGGAAAAACUAUAUUGACGUUAUUCAAUGAAUAAGCCCCGGCUAACUAUGUGCCAGCAGCCGCGGUAAGACAUAGGGGGCGAGCGUUAUCCGGAAUUAUUGGGCGUAAAGGGUGCGUAGGCUGUUAGAUAAGUCUAUAAUUUAAUUUCAGUGCUUAACGCUGUCUUGUUAUAGAAACUGUCUUGACUAGAGUGAGAUAGAGGCAAGCGGAAUUCCAUGUGUAGCGGUAAAAUGUGUAAAUAUAUGGAGGAACACCAGAAGCGUAGGCGGCUUGCUGGGUCUUUACUGACGCUGAGGCACGAAAGCGUGGGUAGCAAACAGGAUUAGAUACCCUGGUAGUCCACGCCGUAAACGAUGAGUACUAAGUGUCGGGGUAAAACUCGGUACUGAAGUUAACACAUUAAGUACUCCGCCUGAGUAGUACGUACGCAAGUAUGAAACUUAAAGGAAUUGACGGGACUCCGCACAAGCGGUGGAUCAUGUUGUUUAAUUCGAAGAUACACGAAAAAUCUUACCAGGUCUUGACAUACUCUGCAAAGCUAUAGAAAUAUAGUGGAGGUUAUCAGGGAUACAGGUGGUGCAUGGUUGUCGUCAGUUCGUGUCGUGAGAUGUUAGGUUAAGUCCUAAAACGAGCGCAACCCUUGUCGUUAAUUGCCAGCACGUAAUGGUGGGGACUUUAGCGAGACUGCCAAUUAAACAUUGGAGGAAGGUGAGGAUUACGUCAAAUCAUCAUGCCCCUUAUGAUCUGGGCUACAAACGUGAUACAAUGGCUGUGACAAAGAGUAGCUGAAACGCGAGUUUUUAGCCAAUCUCAAAAAAGCAGUCUCAGUUCGGAUUGAAGUCUGUAACUCGACUUCAUGAAGUUGGAAUCGCUAGUAAUCGCGAAUCAGCAUGUCGCGGUGAAUACGUUCUCGGGGUUUGUACACACCGCCCGUCAAACCACGAAAGUUAGCAAUACCCGAAAACAGUAGCUUAACUUCGUAAGAAGAGGGAACUGUCUAAGGUAGGGUUGAUGAUUGGGGUUAAGUCGUAACAAGGUAUCCCUACCGGAAGGUGGGGAUGGAUCA
This 1402-nucleotide ribosomal RNA is filed under the name Candidatus Phytoplasma solani. RNAcentral's name for it is "bacterial SSU rRNA". It matches the Rfam family "Bacterial small subunit ribosomal RNA". The record is from RNAcentral. Lineage: Bacteria; Bacillati; Mycoplasmatota; Mollicutes; Acholeplasmatales; Acholeplasmataceae.